This 1549-nucleotide long non-coding RNA is filed under the name Marmota monax (woodchuck). The record is from RNAcentral. Lineage: Eukaryota; Metazoa; Chordata; Mammalia; Rodentia; Sciuridae.
GUAGCAUGACUCAUUUCUACACUUUAUGGCUACUAAGUUCUGUACACAAAGAUUCUUCCCCACAAGAGGUUUGCAAUCUAAUGAAAGAAAUAGCCUCCCCUAUAAAUAAUAGAAUACACUCCAUCCAGAGACAUCGUUAUUCUUUGGUUUCUUAGUAACCUUGUAAGAUGCCAAUCCAAUAGUGAGGACACGCUUUUUGAGAAAAAGGAAAAAGAAGGUUUAUUGCUUUGUUGGCAAAGGAGAAACACAGGGGACUGCUGUCCCAAAGGCUGUGAUUCUCCCCAUCAUUUCUUAAUCUUAUUCUUAGAGAACAGAAAGCUCAGACAGGUAUUAAGAGAAGACCAUGGAACUAGUGCUACUAGUGGCUCUCUAAGGGCUCACCAUUGGAUUUCUUCCACUGUUCUGAUCCUCAGGAAGUACUUUUAGAAAAAAAAAAAAAAAAAACAUUUAGAAAAUAGAAGCAGACCCUUUAUUCAAGCUUACAUAAUUGUGGACUGACUGUGUUUGCACAUCUCCGGAACUGAAAAAUAAUUCCACCAGUCAAGGUGCUUCCUGUGUGGGCAGUUUACUUCCUUAUAGUCAUCUAUGGAAGAGGUGGGAAAGCAAACUGUCAAAAAGAUGCAUUAUUUUUAGCAAUCUUUCUCCCUGGCCAAAUAAAUGUAGUAGAAAGGUAAAUAGCCUGUGAUUUCUGAGGUUACCCUGGUUAGGAUUUCAAAUAAUUUUAUAGAAUUUCCUUAGCUAAGCACUUAGAGAGACUUGAGCCCACAUUCUCCAGCUCUACCAUGCUUGCCUGGAAUUUCUUUCCAAGUCACCUGUGACAACUGCCUGGAGCAUUUCCAGUUCAUCAUAGCUGCCAGCCACCCCUGCACCAUCAGGCCUGAAGCAAAUUUGCCUACCUGCUAGGUUAUAAUUAGAGGGGUUCCUUUUUGGAAGCAUGUACAAACUCUCAGUGAACAAGAAAUAGUAUUUAUAGGCAAUGAAUCCCCUUGAAAAGAGAACAUUUUCAAACUUGUAGAUCAACUAGUAUAAUGUUUCAUACAUUAAAUGCAGUAUUGACGAAUGCAGAAGUUAGUGGUAGUAGUAAAAUGGAUUUAGAUUAGGCAGAUGGAACAAGAUGUGGGAAAGAGUGAAGCAGUCAUAAUGCUUGAUUAAUAUUCUCUUUUGCUCUUCUUCACACAAAACAAAGCUUGUUUCUCCUUGGAUAAUAAACAGCAGAAUUGCUCACAAUAGCUUAUAGUUUAACAGCGAAUUUUGAGUAUGAAGGAAUUAUGCUCCCUGAAACAAGACCUCAGUUCUAUUGUUUGACAUAUCCCAGAACCAUGUUUGGAGACCCCAUGUGGUAGAGCAAAGAGCUUGGUGGACAAGCAGAAUGACCCAGGCAGGACUCCUGGGUCUCCUAGGCCAUGGACAGCUGCUUCAGUCUCAGAGCCAGUUUCUUUGUCUAUAAAAUGGGAAUAAUGUUGCUCUGUAUUUCCUAGGCAUGUGAUGAAAAUUCAGUGACAUAAAACAUAUAAAAAACUUGCCAGCUGCCUGGACUUGGGUGGCAUUU